AUACGUAGGUGGCGAGCGUUGUCCGGAAUUACUGGGCGUAAAGGGCGUGCAGGCGGUUUUUUAAGUCAGAUGUGAAACCCCGGGGCUUAACUCCGGGAUUGCAUUUGAAACUGAAGGGCUUGAGUGCAGGAGAGGUAAGUGGAAUUCCUAGUGUAGCGGUGAAAUGCGUAGAUAUUAGGAGGAACACCAGUGGCGAAGGCGACUUACUGGACUGUAACUGACGCUGAGGCGCGAAAGCGUGGGGAGCAAACAGGAUUAGAUACCCUGGUAGUCCACGCUGUAAACGAUGGAUACUAGGUGUGGGAGGUAUCGACCCCUUCCGUGCCGCAGUUAACGCAAUAAGUAUCCCGCCUGGGGAGUACGGCCGCAAGGUUGAA
Molecule: ribosomal RNA, 377 nt
Filed under: uncultured bacterium
Lineage: Bacteria
Description: bacterial SSU rRNA
Rfam family: Bacterial small subunit ribosomal RNA
Source: RNAcentral